UAGUUCACUGGUAGAACAUUUGCCUAGCAUGCACAAGGCCUGGGUUCAAUCCCCAG
RNAcentral lists this transfer RNA (56 nucleotides) under Ictidomys tridecemlineatus (thirteen-lined ground squirrel). RNAcentral describes it as "Spermophilus tridecemlineatus (thirteen-lined ground squirrel) tRNA". It matches the Rfam family "tRNA", at positions 8 to 63 of the family's 71-position model. From Rfam's summary of the family: Transfer RNA (tRNA) molecules are approximately 80 nucleotides in length. Lineage: Eukaryota; Metazoa; Chordata; Mammalia; Rodentia; Sciuridae. RNAcentral also lists the same sequence under 1 other name. The record is from Rfam by way of RNAcentral.